Long non-coding RNA from Haliotis rubra (blacklip abalone), 216 nucleotides. RefSeq lists it as uncharacterized. Lineage: Eukaryota; Metazoa; Mollusca; Gastropoda; Lepetellida; Haliotidae. The transcript is spliced from 3 exons. The record is from RefSeq and is a predicted model, not a curated record.
UACAGCAUUUUAAAGAGGGAACUAUUUCCUCUCCAGAACUUCUUAAUAGGUACAUCACCCCCGCUACCCGGGCUGUUUUUAGAAGAUCCGCUCGCCUGUCAAAAACGUGUUCUGGCUCCGUGUUUGACGAUGAUUUCUUGCCCUCAAAUACAAUGGAUAGAACUAAAGCCAAGGAGACCUCACCGUUGCUUGCAACUAUAUUUAUCAACCAUUUUG